This 2018-nucleotide long non-coding RNA is filed under the name Malus domestica (apple). RNAcentral's name for it is "long non-coding RNA (MDOM_LNC012126)". The record is from RNAcentral. Lineage: Eukaryota; Viridiplantae; Streptophyta; Magnoliopsida; Rosales; Rosaceae.
GAUAUAGAGUUCCCCCCUGCUGCUCCUCUUAUCUCACUGGCCAUACGGCUAUAAAUAGGUUGAGCAUCAUUUUUUCUUCUCUGGUUCAUCAUGAUAUCUAAUAGGGUGAUUCUUCCUUGCCGCAAAGUGUGUCUUAGAUCAGCUGGGUAGAAAACAAAACCAAAUCGUAUGCAUUUCUUACAAACAGCGCUAAACUACUAAGGUUCUAAAUUUGCAAGUCAAACACAGACGAAUCCAGGUGUAUACUCAUAAAUUUUAAACCUGAUAAUCAAAGGUGUGUAACCCUUGGUAGGCUUCAAGAUGUUGAUUGAAAAUGAAAUGGACCCAGACUUAAAUGGUUCACCCCACAAAACUAAGGUACAUUCAUAAUGUUGCAUGAAUUCUAUGAAGGAGAAUGUUUGAUAAACUAAGUUCAUUGAGCAACACAAUACAUACAUUUAACAAUUAAAUGGCGGAAGCAUGCUUGUAUGCACUCUAAAACAAAACUUAAACUACGAAAUUCAAAGCCUAGUAGUAGAGGUGAACCAAGACUCAACUUUAAACACAAAGAGAGUUUAGAAACAUUAUACCUUUGAACACAAUGAGUGACAAUGGAAGAAAAAAAUGCUAUCAAUGUUCUCCAUGGUGGCUAGCCUAUCUAAGGAAGGAGAGAGUUUGUGUUUCUCCCUCUUUGCCUCAUAGAAAAUCCUAAUGAGGGAUGGAGUUAUAAAGUUGCCUUUAUACCUCAUUCUAAGUGAUUAGCAAACUUGUAAUAAGUAAACCAUCACUCCCUUUCGCUUUGGACGGUUUAUGUAGUUAUGUUUGGGUUAAUUCUCAUUUUGUUUUAGUUGUCAUAGAACUUAACUCAAUGGGUCUUGUGGACCAAAACUCAAUUUGGGUCCUAAAACAUGAAACUUAUUUAAAGCCUGAUUUGAACAUUUCGCAUGAUUAAUUAAUAUAUUAAUUAAUCUUUGUCAUAUACAAUUAAACUAUUUAAUUGUCCUUACUUAUAUUCAUUAUAUUCAUCAAUUAUUACCCUACACGAUGUGAGACCCAUUAAGUUCCUUUUAGCGAGACAGUGGGCAAUUAGAACUCUUAGUCUCUUACUAGUCGAUUGUGAAUUGAAACUUACAUUCAAUUCUCCUUUUAGUGAUUAUACAUCUUCAAGGCUUCCACAAACCAUGAGCAACACCAACAGCAUGUUAUGGCUACUCAAGCUAAUCAAAAGAGGUUGGAGAACCUAUUCAGUUUCGUAUUACAAUGCAAUAUGGUCUUUCUCACAUUGUAUGGUUUGAUAGUUUAUUCAUAUCUACUAUCCAAUGUGAUUCUCUUACUUAUAUGAUUACCUUGAAUGCGAUUUAGAACUAUAUCUCAUUCAUACUCUGGUAAGAGAUUCUUAAUCAUAUCAUAAAGUAUUCUCCCUCAACGGUUUAAAGGGUAGAAAUCCUUUGUUGCACAUUCACACGUCUCCAUGAUUAAGUAGUUUAGCCCUAACUAUGCAUAGACAAUAUCUAAUGGAGUGCCUUUAACAUAGUCAUAGAUUAAGGACCUAACCACAAGACAACUAUGAUGUCUCAAGUCAGAAGACUACUUUGCAUUAUUCAAUUAUGAGUUCUCAUGCGACAUGAGUAUGAGAACUCCUUGUUGAUCGCAUUCAGUGGAUGCACUCUCUAUUAAGCACAUACAUACUUGGCUUAGUGUCAUUCACACCAAUGACUCGAGAUCAGUCACUCUUCUCGAGAGAAGACAUAAUAUGUACUAAUCUACAAGAAUCAUUAAUGCUAUAUUAGCAGUCAUAUGAUCAGAAACAUUUAGGAUAUGUGUAUGAAAUAGAAUGUUCUGGUGAAUCUUAAUUCUUUAGAUCACAUUCUCCUAACUACAUAUUCCUUGGAGUUAUCGUUUAAGCGUAUAACAUUUAAUGGGAGGGCUUUAAACCAUAAUCUUUACCUUUACACUGAACUAAUUUAGUUUAACAUAUGAAAUUUCUGUAAAGUAUCAUCUUACGAUUGAGUUAGGCAUAUUCCCAACAUUUUAUUGAU